This 68-nucleotide transfer RNA is filed under the name Mertensiella caucasica. Its description in RNAcentral is "tRNA-Gly". It matches the Rfam family "tRNA". From Rfam's summary of the family: Transfer RNA (tRNA) molecules are approximately 80 nucleotides in length. Their secondary structure includes four short double-helical elements and three loops (D, anti-codon, and T loops). The record is from RNAcentral. Lineage: Eukaryota; Metazoa; Chordata; Amphibia; Caudata; Salamandridae.
GUCUCUUUAGUAUAAUAAAUAUAAAUGACUUCCAAUCAUUUGACCUUAGUUUAACCUAAGAAAAGACA